CAGGACCAGACUGUUUCUAAAAUGUGAUGGAAACAACUCAAUAUGACAAUGUUAUGUUAUACAGGUAAGUAAUUAUCGGGCUUUAUUUAGACGUUAAACCAGUGACAACUGACCAAUAUAUUUUCUUGCCGAUUGCGAAGUAGUUGAUUUGAUAGAGGUUUUAUGGUUUUAUGAUGCGUUUUCAUUACGAGGGCUUCCUGUUGUCAAGGCAGUGUAACCACAACAAAGGUGUCAUCAGCGACAUGGGGGGUUUCAUAAAACCUUGUAGCCUCAACAUAUAGCCUUGAUAACUGGCUAGCUUGAAACAAGGUCACAUCCAUCUCGCUGAACAAUGUCUGAAGGAAACAGAAACGUUGUACACUGCACCAACCCUGGGAACCCUGUGUUUUCUUGUAUGAUGAACCCAGUUUCUCAGAUGCCGUCUCGUGACAUAUCAUGGACACAAGCACCCGCUAGUCUUUUUUACAAGACAACAUCCUCCGAUUAUGGACACUUAUAUCCUACGUAUGAAUCCUCGCCAUGCUCCUACCACCCUGUGUCGCAGACAUUCUCGGAGCAUAUGGGAAAGUGUGGAAUGUACCAUAACAAUUCCUUCAAUACUGCUUUGGAUAGAAGCAAGGUGUAACUGAAACUGUUUGCGAGUGAUUGCUAGUUAUCGGUUUGAUGGUUAAUGAAACUCCCUUGGGACUGCUCCAAUUAAAUGUUUGGUUCAUGCUUUUGCCUUUUCUUUAAAACGUUAAACUUAUGUUUGGACUUCAUCCCUCCUCAAUAAAAACGACCAUAAAAAGAAA
Long non-coding RNA from Clupea harengus (Atlantic herring), 791 nucleotides. RefSeq lists it as uncharacterized. Lineage: Eukaryota; Metazoa; Chordata; Actinopteri; Clupeiformes; Clupeidae. The record is from RefSeq and is a predicted model, not a curated record.